AGAGUUUGAUCCUGGCUCAGAUUGAACGCUGGCGGCGUGCUUAACACAUGCAAGUCGUGCGAGAAAGGGGACUUCGGUUCCUGAGUAGAGCGGCGCACGGGUGAGUAACGCGUGGGUGAUCUACCCGGAAGUCUGGGAUAACGGUGGGAAACUGCCGCUAAUACCGGUUAAUCUUCCAAUUCGAAUUGGAGGGAAAGACGGCCUCUGCUUGCAAGCUGUCGCUUUCGGAUGAGCCCGCGUCCCAUUAGCUCGUUGGCGGGGUAACGGCCCACCAAGGCAACGAUGGGUAGCUGGUCUGAGAGGAUGAUCAGCCACACUGGGACUGGAACACGGCCCAGACUCCUACGGGAGGCAGCAGUGGGGAAUAUUGCGCAAUGGGGGAAACCCUGACGCAGCGACGCCGUGUGAGGGAAGAAGGCCUUCGGGUCGUAAACCUCUGUCGGGAGGGAAGAACCGCCGGGUUCCGAACAGGGACUCGGCCUGACGGUACCUCCGAAGAAAGCGCCGGCUAACUCCGUGCCAGCAGCCGCGGUAAUACGGAGGGCGCGAGCGUUAAUCGGAAUCACUGGGCGUAAAGCGCGCGUAGGCGGCCAGAUAAGUCGGGCGUGAAAGCCCUCGGCUCAACCGAGGAACUGCGUUCGAUACUGUUUGGCUUGAGUCCUGGAGAGGGUGGCGGAAUUCCGGGUGUAGUGGUGAAAUGCGUAGAUAUCCGGAGGAACACCAGUGGCGAAAGCGGCCUUCUGGACCAUUUCUGACGCUAAGAUGCGAAAGCUAGGGUAGUAAACGGGAUUAGAGACCCCGGUAAUCCUAGCCGUAAACGAUGUAGACUUGGCGUUGGCGGAGUUAAAUCUGCCAGUGCCGUAGCUAACGCGAUAAGUCUACCGCCUGAGGAUUACGAUCGCAAGGUUAAAACUCAAAGGAAUUGACGGGGGCCCGCACAAGCAGCGGAGCGUGUGGUUUAAUUCGAUGAUACACGAAGAACCUUACCAAGGUUUGACAUGCAAGUGGUAGUGAACUGAAAAGGGAACGACCCUUCGGGGAGCUUGCACAGGUGCUGCAUGGCUGUCGUCAGCUCGUGUCGUGAGAUGUUCGGUUAAGUCCGCUAACGAGCGCAACCCUCACUGUGUGUUAUACGUGUCACACGGGACCGCCGGUUUUAAGCCGGAGGAAGGUGGGGAUGACGUCAAGUCAGCAUGGCCUUUAUAUCUUGGGCCACACACACGCUACAAUGGCCAGUACAAUGGGAUGCCAAGCCGCAAGGCGGAGCCAACCCUCAAAGCUGGUCUCAGUUCGGAUUGCAGGCUGCAACUCGCCUGCAUGAAGCCGGAGUUGCUAGUAACCGCAGGUCAGCUAUACUGCGGUGAAUACGUUCCCGGGCCUUGCACUCACCGCCCGUCA
This 1398-nucleotide ribosomal RNA is filed under the name uncultured bacterium. RNAcentral describes it as "partial 16S ribosomal RNA". It matches the Rfam family "Bacterial small subunit ribosomal RNA". The record is from RNAcentral.